AUAACUAACUUUAUUCAUACGAAAAGCGUGACAACAAUUUAAAAUAAAAGAAAAAACAUAAAUUAAACACAUUCACAUGCAAUAACCACACCUUCAUUUCUAUAGGAAUAACUUGUUAAACCAUACAUCUCCCUCAUCACUCAAUAUUCAUUAGUCCCCCCAAUCCCAGCUAGCUUGCUAUAUAUAUAUAAGUCCAACAAUAUCGAUCCUUGAUGAAAAAAAAAAUAAGAAGAAGAAAGCUAGAUUGUUUGUUGCAGCAGGUGGAAGCUUCCAAAGGGAUCGCAUUGAUCCAUUCUAUUAAACUUGCGGCAACAUAUAUGCUAUAUAUAUUGUUCUGAUCAAUUGAUAAUUUGGAUCAUGUGAUCUCUUUGGAAGUUUCCAUCCAUGUCGCUGCAUGUUUUCACCUCGAUUCAUGAUCAUUAUUCUUUUUUUUAAUUCCUUCAGCUAGUUUCAAUUUGAUUUAAAGCUAGAAGCAUACAUGUAUAAUGCGGCAGUGAUGGCAAUGAUGGUAACGAUGUGAUUAUUAAUAUCAGAGUAAAGAAAUAAUAUCGAUAAAGAAACAAUUAUAUAUGAUGUAUUCACAAAAUAAAAAAGCGAACAACAAAUAUGAUGAUGAUCAUCAUCCCAGACGAGGUGUUAUUAAUUAAGCAACAUAUUCAUUCACUUACCAGCCAGACAAGUUGCUCGGAUGAGGUCCCUAUCUAAAACCUGGAAUUCCCUCUUGUCUCAUUCCUCCUUCAUCGAAUCUCAUCUCAUUCGUUCCAAGGAUACCAACAAUGAAAUCCUCAUGGUGUUUGAAGACUCACUACAUUCCGAAAAGAGACCAUUCACAGAGCACACGAUUACCUCAGCUCCUCUCAAACGGAUGAUGUCCAACUCACUAAUUCAGUCAAAGUAGUCCAUACGAGUAGCAACUCCAACUCACCUUAUGGCACUGUUGUUGGUUUAACAUGCCUUUAUGGUACGGGAGGAGUUAAGAUUUGGAACCCUUCUCUCUCAGCCUUAAUAGUUCUCCCACCAUCUACUAUUCUUCGUUUGGACAAUGGCAAUGAUUGUCAUUCCUCUCUCCGCUUCGGUUUUGAUCCCAAAACGAAUGACUACAAAGUUUUCAAGCUUAGAUUUUAUUUAGACGAUCAUGACAUAUAUGACUUUCAAAUGGCUUCCCGCGGAGGUGUUCAGUUUUUGGGAAGCAAUUGCCGAAAGCUUUCCAUCCAAUGUUCCAACUGUUCAAACGAUGCCCAAUAGGAAUGAAGUUUUUGUAGAUGGACAUGAUGGCCGUCUUCAUUAUCUUUGUACUAGUGUUAAUAAUGAUCGACAAACAAUAGUGGCCUUUGAUUUGGGUGAUUGUGUUUAUAGGAUGAACGAGCUGGCAGUUUUGUCCCAAAAGCCUUGUGUAAUGUCAUGUGUUGCCAAUGUUGGUUGCGAGGUGUGGGUGAUGGAAAAUUACGGGGUGGCUACUUCGUGGGUGAGACGCCAUGUAAUUCCAAAUUGUGAUGCUGAUCAUAUUGUUCCAGUUGGAUUCACUUUAAACAAUCGGUUCCUGUUUAGACAUGGUAUAUAUUCAUCUAUCAUUGUUCGAUACAGAAACAUCAAAAUAUAGUUGUUUUAAGGGUGUCACAUUUAAAUGUCAACAGGAGGAUGGUGUGGAUCCAUAUUUCCUCCAAGUCAAAGUUGUUCAAUAUGUUGACAGUCUUGUUUGGGUAACACCCUCUAACUGGGCCUAUAAUGAUGUCUCAUCACAAACUGAAAAGAAGCAACACUUAUUGGAUGGUUAAUGACCAACACUACAAGAGGCAACACUUAUUGGAUUUCUGCUUUUUUUUAGAACGACUUGAUUUAACAAAAGUGUUGAUCAAUUUCUAGUUUAUUACUUCAGACACUAUUUCAAUUCGUUAGCGUUAUGUAUCAGCAACACUUUAUUUUGUUGUUUAAUUAUCUGUAGUAUACUA
Molecule: long non-coding RNA, 1949 nt
Organism: Erigeron canadensis
Lineage: Eukaryota; Viridiplantae; Streptophyta; Magnoliopsida; Asterales; Asteraceae
Exons: 3
Source: RefSeq, a predicted model, not a curated record